Molecule: long non-coding RNA, 1233 nt
Filed under: Sorghum bicolor (sorghum)
Lineage: Eukaryota; Viridiplantae; Streptophyta; Magnoliopsida; Poales; Poaceae
Description: long non-coding RNA (SBIC_LNC017423)
Source: RNAcentral
UACAGACCUAUUUACAUAGGCAGUUUUUAAUUCUGGCCGUACAAAUUUACAACACAGGUGCAUUAAUUUUGCCCCGCCAUCUUAGAGCAUCUGUGUACUAAUGGUUUCAACAUUAUUACAUAUAAUACAUGCAAGAUUGUUGUAAUAAAUGCAGUACCACAUUUUCAUUAUUUUAUUUAUUUAUUUUUUUGUCUUGCUAACCAUAACAGUGUUUCAUGUAAAAACAUUAAAGGUGUUAGCAACACUCGAUGGUAAAUAGAAAAAAAUCGUCAAACAUCAUCUAAGCUUGCACUAGUACAGGGAAGGGCUUUAGCCCCGGGCCGUAAGCGCCUUUAGUCCCGGCUACGGAACCGGGGCUAAGGUUUCGGGACUAAAUGUCCCACCUUUAGUCCCGGUUCCGUGGACCGGGACUAAAGGUCCACCUUUAGUCCCGGUUGGUAACAGAAACCGGGACUAAAAGGUGCGCCAGGGUGUGCCACCUGGCCUCCACUUUUAGUCCCGGUUGUUGUUACGACUAAAGACUUUUUUUCUUUUUUCUUUUUCUUUUCAUUUGGUUUUCCAUUUAGGGUUUACAAUUAUGUUAUUGUUAUUUUCGAAUGCGUAUUGUUUGCUGGUAGUUUAUGGAACGCACACCUAUAUAAUUUAUAUAAUUUAAAGGAUUACAUAUAAAUAUACUAUAAAACACUAUAUAUAUAUAUAAAUAAUUAUAUCUAUAGGUCCAUAAUAAAAUAUUUACACAUAUGCUUCACGGACAAAGUAUUUACAACACAAUUUUUCUCCACCACUCAAGCAUCGUACAAAUGAUCAUCGUUAUUUGGUUUCAUCUGCUCCUGAGGGUUGAAAUAGCACUCGCCGCCGGAAUCUAGGACUUGGUCAUUAAGAAAUCCUGCGAUUGUCUCCUGAAUUCCUUUUAGGCACACCGCAUCCAACACCUGCUCCUUCAGCCACAUCUCCUUUAAUAGACAUUAAAGAAAAAAGUUAGAGGUAUGAAUAGGAUUUAUUAAAUAGCAACAAAUAAAUGAAAUAUACUUAUUAUAUAUACAUGUUACAUACUUUUAGGUGCUCAAGAUUAGUUCUUUUGGCAUACACCGGCAUAAACUCGCACACAUAGUAGCCACACAAAUUGUUGCCCGGUGUCUGCCGUAGAACCCACUGAAGUAAGAUGGGCUUUGAAAGUGAUGCAUUCAACUCUGGACGGUGUUUCUGCACGAACCCAGCCCAAACCCUAGCAAU